Small nuclear RNA from Mesocricetus auratus (golden hamster), 165 nucleotides. Its record names the gene U1. It matches the Rfam family "U1 spliceosomal RNA". From Rfam's summary of the family: U1 is a small nuclear RNA (snRNA) component of the spliceosome (involved in pre-mRNA splicing). Its 5' end forms complementary base pairs with the 5' splice junction, thus defining the 5' donor site of an intron. NCBI's taxonomy places the organism in Eukaryota, Metazoa, Chordata, Mammalia, Rodentia, Cricetidae. The record is from Ensembl.
AUACUCACCUGGCAGGGGAGAGACCAUGAUAACAAAGGUGGUUUUCCCAGGGUGAGGCUUAUUAUCCAUUGCACUCCGGAUGUGCUGACCACUGCGAUUUCCCCAAAAGCAGGAAACACGACUGCAUAAUUUGUGGUAGUGGGGACUGCAUUCAUGGUCUCCUCU